This 252-nucleotide ribosomal RNA is filed under the name uncultured Bacteroidales bacterium. RNAcentral's name for it is "partial 16S ribosomal RNA". It matches the Rfam family "Bacterial small subunit ribosomal RNA", at positions 524 to 776 of the family's 1533-position model. The record is from RNAcentral. Lineage: Bacteria; Pseudomonadati; Bacteroidota; Bacteroidia; Bacteroidales.
UACUGAGGAUGCGAGCGUUAUCCGGAUUUAUUGGGUUUAAAGGGUGCGCAGGCGGUCUGUUAAGUCAGCGGUCAAAUUGCGGGGCUCAACCCCGUACUGCCGUUGAAACUGCAUCCCCUGAGUGGGCGAGAAGUAUGCGGAAUGCGUGGUGUAGCGGUGAAAUGCAUAGAUAUCACGCAGAACUCCGAUUGCGAAGGCAGCAUACCGGCGCCCGACUGACGCUGAGGCACGAAAGCGUGGGGAUCGAACAGG